CAGAGUAAGGGCGACUGAAAUGUCAAAAGCUCAGCAUGUGAAUCAGCGUUUAUUUUCAUAAAUGCUGAAUUGUGGUCUUACGAUUCUUGCAACACUUAGUCCAGUCCAUGUUUUUUGGAAUAAAAUAGCAAAGAGGGUGAAACUCCUGUUUGUCUGGACUUGCGAAGCAAAAAUCACUGAGUCGAGUUGUUUGGGAUUGCAGCUCAAAUGCGGUGGUAAAUUCCAUCUCAAGCUAAAUACUGGCAGGAAACCGAUAUCGAAAAAGUACCGUGAGGGAAAGAUGAAAAGAACUUUGAAAAGAGAGUGAAAGAGUACCUGAAAUUGCUGAAAAGGAAGCGAACGAAGCUAGUGAUCGCUGCGUCAUACUUUCCACAUUGCUUGCAAUUUGGACGCUGUGGCCGGCCGAGUCCGACUUGAUUGUAAGUUGUGGAAACAGGCAAAGAAAAGAU
This 449-nucleotide ribosomal RNA is filed under the name Pinnularia borealis. Its description in RNAcentral is "eukaryotic LSU rRNA". It matches the Rfam family "Eukaryotic large subunit ribosomal RNA", at positions 79 to 547 of the family's 3401-position model. The record is from RNAcentral. Lineage: Eukaryota; Bacillariophyta; Bacillariophyceae; Sellaphorales; Pinnulariaceae.